Molecule: RNA transcript, 2420 nt
Organism: Mastomys coucha (southern multimammate mouse)
Lineage: Eukaryota; Metazoa; Chordata; Mammalia; Rodentia; Muridae
Gene name: D-3-phosphoglycerate dehydrogenase pseudogene
Exons: 1
Source: RefSeq, a predicted model, not a curated record
AUACUAAUGUUCAUUUUAUAGGGUUGUAAACGUUUGUAAGUAUCAGCACGUUUACUGCAUGAAGGUAAACAUGUAAGAAUGGUUCUAACGCAGAUGGCGGUUAGGGUUUAGAUGGGAAAAGGGUGUGCAUGACUUGUUUCUCCUUCCCUCAAAGUCUUGUAGCUAUUGUGGUCAUGAAGUCACACACCCUGGUCUUGGGCCUGUGAUCCUAGCAGAGAUUGCUGGAGAGACACGAGGGGAACAUAGCUGGUUUACAGCCCAAGAGAAGCAUGUGUGUCUUAGGCCUGAUUGAGAGCUGAGGCUGGUUGGUAGAGUUAGGCCCCAGGCUCUUGAGGGCUCUUAAUACUCAACAGGGCAGGCAGAAGUGUCUUGGGAAAGGCCUGUGCAAGUGAUGUCAGUCUCUUACAUUUAGAUACCCUAUGUAUGUUAUUUUUAUUUGAAUAAUUAACAUUUAUCUCUAUCCAUGGCAUUGAUCUUUUGUCAUGAACAGGAAUUAUACAGGAGUAUACUAUGGUUUCUCUCAUGAAGAAGUUUAAAUUGAUAUGUUGGAUACGUGACAGAAACAUACAUAUAUUAUUAGUAACUGUAAACUUUCCAACUUUAAAAAAGUAAAAUUAAGACAAAACAUGAGGCCCAAUCACCGGAGCCAGCCCUGCCUGUAGUUUCCUGAACUAAGUGCUUCUGCCCACCCAGAGCAACUGAUUCUAAGGCCUGGCUCUAGCAAUGGCCUUUGCAAAUCUGCGCAAAGUGCUCAUCAGUGACAGCCUGGACCCCUGCUGCCUGAAGAUCCUGCAAGAUGGAGGGCUGCAGGUAGUGGAGAAGCAGAACUUGAGCAAGGAGGAGCUGACAGCCAAGCUGCAGGACUGUGAAGGCAUUAUUGUCCCGUCGUCUACUAAGGUCACUGCUGAUGUCAUCAAUGCAGCAGAGAAGUGCCAGGUGGUGGGCAGGGCUGGUACAGGCAUGGACAAUGUGGAUCUGGAGGCUGCCAUGAGGAAGGGCAUCCCAGUCAUGAACACCCCCAAUGGAAACAGCCUUAGUGCUGCGGAACGCACCUGUGGGAUGAUCAUGUGCCUGGCCAGGCAGACUCCCCAGGCAACAGCUUCGAUGAAAGAUGGCAAAUGGGACUGGAAGAAGUUCAUGGGGACAGAAUUGAAUGGGAAGACACUGGGAAUUCUUGGCCUAAGCAGAAUCAGAAGAGAGGUGGCCACUUGAAUGCAGUCCUUUGGAAUGAAGACUGUAGGCUAUGACUCCAUCACUUCUCCUGAAGUUGCUGCCUCCUUUGGUGUUCAGCAGCUGCUGCUGGAGGCCUCUUUGUAAUUUCAUAACUGUCCAUGCACCACUCUUGCCCUCCACCACAGGCUUGCUGAAUGACAGCACCUUUGCUCAGUGUAAGAAAGGUGUGUGAGUGAUGAACUGUGCUCGAAGAGGCAUUGUGGAUGAAGGUGCCCUGCUCCGAGCCCUGCACUGGUCAGUGUGCUGGGGCUGCACUGGAUGUGUUUACAGAAGAGGCACUAUCGGACUGGGCCUUAGUGGACCACAAGAACGUCAUUAGCUGUCCCCACCUGGGCGUCAGCACCAAGGAAGCCCAGAGCUGUUGUGGGAGGAAAUUGCAGUCUAGUUUGUGGACAUGGUGAAGGGGAAAUCUCUAACAGGGGUCAUAAACACCCAGACCCUUACCAGUGCCUUCUUUCCACACACCAAUCCUUGGAUUGGUCUGGCAGAAGCAUUGGGCAUGCUGAUGCACGCCUGGGCUGGCUCCCCUAAAGGGACUAUCCAGGUGGUUACACAAGGAACAUCUCUGAAGAAUGCUGGGACCUGCCUGAGCCCUGGAGUCAUUGUCAGCCUUCUGAGAGAAGCAUCCAAGCUGGCAGAUGUGAACUUGGUGAACGCUAAGCUACUGGUGAAAGAGGCUGGCCUCAAUGUCAUUACCUCCCACAGCCCCAGGGUCCCAGGGGAGCAGGGCAGCAGGGAAUGUCUCCUCACUGUGGCCCUGGCAAGUGCUCCCUGCCAAGCUAUAGGCUUGGUCCAGGGCAUCACGCCAAUGCUGCAGGUGCUCAAUGGAGCUUUCUUCAGGCCAGAGGUGCCACACCUGCUCGUGUUCUGGGCUCAGCCCUCCAAUCCUAAAUGCUGCCCACUAUGAUUACCCUCCUGGCCGUCCUACCAAACUUCCAAGGUGUCUGAUGGAAAGACUUGGCACGUUAUGGGCCUCUCCUCCCUGCUGCCUGGCCUGGAAGCAUGGAAGCGGCAAGUAUCUGAGGCUUUCCAGUUCUGCUUCUGACCCUGGGCUCAGUGGUCCUAGCACCCCAGGCUCUUCUGAAGAAACCCUGCUCACUGUGACCUAUAGGGAGAGGAGACUACAGAAUCAGGGCAUCUGCCUGAACUAAUAUCUAGUAAAGAAUCUAACUCCCCCCCCCCCCCCC